CCUAAAGAAACCCUCUAAUUAGUAGAACCCAGCCAGACAAUCAGUGACAUCAUUCAGACAUUUAAGCAGGAAGUACUGGGCCGGCCCCUCCCAUACUCCUGCCCUGCUGCAGAUCUACAAGGGACAAACAAUGGUGGAUGCGCUCAGCCGGAUGCUGUCUCCGGUCUCCAUGAGAACAGCUGCAUCACUCUGCAGGUGUGUCACUCUACAUCUGCUCAGAGGAUUCAGCAGCCUAAAGCAAUGCAGCGUUAUACACAGAACAAGUGGCCUCUGACCCACACCCACCCAUCUACAUCAAAGCAGUGACGGUGGAGCGUGAGAACAGCUUCAAGUUCCUGGGAGUCCACAUCUCUGAGGACCUCACCUCAACGACCGGCUGCUCCAAGCUGGUCAAGAAGGCUCACCAGAGGACUUUGGGGAAAAAAACGCCUGUCCUCAGAUAUCCUGGUGAACUUCUACCACUGCACCAUCAAAAGCAUCCUGA
Molecule: long non-coding RNA, 484 nt
Organism: Fundulus heteroclitus (mummichog)
Lineage: Eukaryota; Metazoa; Chordata; Actinopteri; Cyprinodontiformes; Fundulidae
Exons: 3
Source: RefSeq, a predicted model, not a curated record